AGAUGGCGACCGGCGCACGGGUGAGUAACACGUAUCCAACCUGCCGAUAACCCGGGGAUAGCCUUUCGAAAGAAAGAUUAAUACCCGAUGGUAUAAUCAGACCGCAUGGUUUGAUUAUUAAAGAAUUUCGGUUAUCGAUGGGGAUGCGUUCCAUUAGGCAGUUGGUGAGGUAACGGCUCACCAAACCUUCGAUGGAUAGGGGUUCUGAGAGGAAGGUCCCCCACAUUGGAACUGAGACACGGUCCAA
This 247-nucleotide ribosomal RNA is filed under the name uncultured bacterium. RNAcentral describes it as "partial 16S ribosomal RNA". It matches the Rfam family "Bacterial small subunit ribosomal RNA", at positions 86 to 334 of the family's 1533-position model. The record is from RNAcentral.